Molecule: long non-coding RNA, 588 nt
Filed under: Homo sapiens (human)
Lineage: Eukaryota; Metazoa; Chordata; Mammalia; Primates; Hominidae
Description: HSALNT0222534
Source: RNAcentral
UCCCGCCCCGCGGACUCGGUGGCCCCGCCCCUGCAGAGGCUGAUUGGCCUAGCGCGAGGUCAUCUUCCUGCUGAUUUGUAUGCCUGGUAGUUUUUCACUGGAUGCUCUACAUGAGAUCAAAAUAUGCCACUCCAAAACAUGCCACUUUGGCAUACAAUUAUUUCAGAUUCAACAGAUGCAGAAAGAAGCCAUCUCAGAGCUUCCCUUAUCUCAUGAGAAGCAGAAACUUCUGAGAAAUGAGGACUGCUGUAAAUCUCCUCUUCUAGGGAAGUUUUAUGGCCACAGAGAAGAUGAAGUUGGCGCCAAGAUGGAUCUGCACAAACAAACCUUACUCCAUUAAUUUCCCUCAUAUAUUUACUUUCCCAUGGUUUACUGCCUUUGGGAGCCUAAGAUUUUUUUUUUUUCCUUUGACUUGUCACUUCUCUACGAAUUUAUUGUUCUUUGUUAAGAUGCAUAAACCCACAUUCUAACCACCUCUUUGAGUUUUUCAUCAUAUCACUGAGUUUCUCCUGGGUACACGCCCACUGUACAUGCUAAUAAACUAUUUGUUUUUCCCUUGUUAAUCUGUUUUUUCUCAGUUAAUUUUCA